Transfer RNA from Neolentinus lepideus HHB14362 ss-1, 83 nucleotides. It matches the Rfam family "tRNA". From Rfam's summary of the family: Transfer RNA (tRNA) molecules are approximately 80 nucleotides in length. Their secondary structure includes four short double-helical elements and three loops (D, anti-codon, and T loops). Further hydrogen bonds mediate the characteristic L-shaped molecular structure. tRNAs have two regions of fundamental functional importance: the anti-codon, which is responsible for specific mRNA codon recognition, and the 3' end, to which the tRNAs corresponding amino acid is attached (by aminoacyl-tRNA synthetases). tRNAs cope with the degeneracy of the genetic code in two manners: having more than one tRNA (with a specific anti-codon) for a particular amino acid; and 'wobble' base-pairing, i.e. permitting non-standard base-pairing at the 3rd anti-codon position. The record is from Rfam. Lineage: Eukaryota; Fungi; Basidiomycota; Agaricomycetes; Gloeophyllales; Gloeophyllaceae.
GGCUACCUGGCGCAAUGGUAGCGCGUUUGGCUUCGAUUGCCAACGUAACCAAAAGGUUGCAGGUUCGAGUCCUGCGGUGGUCA